RNAcentral lists this ribosomal RNA (253 nucleotides) under uncultured bacterium. RNAcentral describes it as "partial 16S ribosomal RNA". It matches the Rfam family "Bacterial small subunit ribosomal RNA", at positions 524 to 776 of the family's 1533-position model. The record is from RNAcentral.
UACAUGGGGUGCAAACGUUGCUCGGAAUUAUUGGGCGUAAAGCGCGCGUAGGCGGUUACUUAAGUCGGAUGUGAAAGCCCUCGGCUUAACUGAGGAAGUGCACCCGAAACUGAGUAGCUGGAGUACGAAAGAGGGUCGCGGAAUUCCAGGUGUAGCGGUGAAAUGCGUAGAUAUCUGGAGGAACACCGGUGGCGAAGGCGGCAUCCUGGACCAAUACUGACGCUGAGGAGCGAAAGCCAGGGGAGCAAACGGG